This 253-nucleotide ribosomal RNA is filed under the name uncultured bacterium. RNAcentral's name for it is "partial 16S ribosomal RNA". It matches the Rfam family "Bacterial small subunit ribosomal RNA", at positions 524 to 776 of the family's 1533-position model. The record is from RNAcentral.
UACGGAGGGUGCAAGCGUUAAUCGGAAUUACUGGGCGUAAAGCGCACGCAGGUGGCUAAGUCAGUCGAUUGUGAAAGCCCUGGGCUUAACCUGGGAAUUGCAGUCGAUACUACUUAGCUAGAGUAUGGGAGAGGGCAGUGGAAUUCCCGGUGUAGCGGUGAAAUGCGUAGAUAUGCGGAGGAACACCAGUGGCGAAGGCGGCCUCCUGGUACACUCCUGACACUCAGACGCGAAAGCUAGGGGAGCGAACGGG